CCCUUAGAUGUUCUGGGCCGCACGCGCGCUACACUGACGAAUGCAACGAGCUUAUAACCUUGGCCGAAAGGUCUGGGUAAUCUCCAAAUUUCGUCGUGAUGGGGAUAGAUUAUUGCAAUUAUGGGUCUUCAACGAGGAAUUCCUAGUAAACGCAAGUCAUCAGCUUGCACUGAUUACGUCCCUGCCCUUUGUACACACCGCCCGUCGCACCUACCGAUUGAAUGGUCCGGUGAAAUCUCGGGACGGCGGCUUGGUCGCUUGCGUCCGACUGCUGAAACUUGAUUAAACCAUAUCAUUUAGAGGAAGGUGAAGUCGUAACA
RNAcentral lists this ribosomal RNA (320 nucleotides) under uncultured eukaryote. Its description in RNAcentral is "partial 18S ribosomal RNA". It matches the Rfam family "Eukaryotic small subunit ribosomal RNA", at positions 1470 to 1796 of the family's 1831-position model. The record is from RNAcentral.